AAGUCGUGAACAAGGUCUNCCGUUGGUGAACCAGCGGAGGGAUCAUUA
RNAcentral lists this ribosomal RNA (48 nucleotides) under Camillea obularia. Its description in RNAcentral is "partial 18S ribosomal RNA". The record is from RNAcentral. Lineage: Eukaryota; Fungi; Ascomycota; Sordariomycetes; Xylariales; Graphostromataceae.